CCAAAUAUAAAUUUUAUCUUAUUUUAUUUACAUCAAAAGAAAUUAAGUCCCCCACUUCUCCUGCUUUCUAUUUCCAACACCUCCCCCUACCUUGGAUGCACACCUGCUUCCCUCUGCAACUCUCUCCUUCCCCAUCUCCAUGUCCAUGGCAAUUCCAAGGUACCAUCUUUCUUCCUCUUCAUCAUCUCUAAUCUCACCCUCUCUUCCAUGCUCUCACUCAACCAUUCCCACACUAACCCUCUUUUUCUCCACUCUCCCACUCUCAACACCAGCUCGUUUACUCAAUAUCAUGCUGUAAAGUUACAAUUUUUUUCUUGUAAACUUGUUUUUAUUCGCUAA
Non-coding RNA from Vicia faba (fava bean), 339 nucleotides. NCBI's taxonomy places the organism in Eukaryota, Viridiplantae, Streptophyta, Magnoliopsida, Fabales, Fabaceae. The record is from the annotation of a GenBank genome assembly.